CGCCUCCAAUUGAACCAGUGAUU
This 23-nucleotide non-coding RNA is filed under the name Arabidopsis thaliana (thale cress). Lineage: Eukaryota; Viridiplantae; Streptophyta; Magnoliopsida; Brassicales; Brassicaceae. The record is from RNAcentral.